This is a small nuclear RNA of Heterocephalus glaber (naked mole-rat), 68 nucleotides long. Its record names the gene U2. It matches the Rfam family "U2 spliceosomal RNA". Rfam says of the family: U2 is a small nuclear RNA (snRNA) component of the spliceosome (involved in pre-mRNA splicing). Lineage: Eukaryota; Metazoa; Chordata; Mammalia; Rodentia; Bathyergidae. The record is from Ensembl.
AUCGCUUCUUGGCCUUUUGGCUAAGAUCAAGUGUAGUAUCUAAGCACACCCACAUAUAUCGAGUCUCC